CAUGCAAGUCGAACGAGAGAGAAGGAGCUUGCUUCUUCGAUCGAGUGGCGAACGGGUGAGUAACGCGUGAGGAACCUGCCUCAAAGAGGGGGACAACAGUUGGAAACGACUGCUAAUACCGCAUAAGCCCACGGGUCGGCAUCGAUCUGAGGGAAAAGGAGCAAUCCGCUUUGAGAUGGCCUCGCGUCCGAUUAGCUAGUUGGUGAGGUAACGGCCCACCAAGGCGACGAUCGGUAGCCGGACUGAGAGGUUGAACGGCCACAUUGGGACUGAGACACGGCCCAGACUCCUACGGGAGGCAGCAGUGGGGAAUAUUGCACAAUGGGGGAAACCCUGAUGCAGCGACGCCGCGUGGAGGAAGAAGGUCUUCGGAUUGUAAACUCCUGUUGUUGAGGAAGAUAAUGACGGUACUCAACAAGGAAGUGACGGCUAACUACGUGCCAGCAGCCGCGGUAAAACGUAGGUCACAAGCGUUGUCCGGAAUUACUGGGUGUAAAGGGAGCGCAGGCGGGAAGACAAGUUGGAAGUGAAAUCUAUGGGCUCAACCCAUAAACUGCUUUCAAAACUGUUUUUCUUGAGUAGUGCAGAGGUAGGCGGAAUUCCCGGUGUAGCGGUGGAAUGCGUAGAUAUCGGGAGGAACACCAGUGGCGAAGGCGGCCUACUGGGCACCAACUGACGCUGAGGCUCGAAAGUGUGGGUAGCAAACAGGAUUAGAUACCCUGGUAGUCCACACCGUAAACGAUGAUUACUAGGUGUUGGAGGAUUGACCCCUUCAGUGCCGCAGUUAACACAAUAAGUAAUCCACCUGGGGAGUACGACCGCAAGGUUGAAACUCAAAGGAAUUGACGGGGGCCCGCACAAGCAGUGGAGUAUGUGGUUUAAUUCGACGCAACGCGAAGAACCUUACCAAGUCUUGACAUCCUGCGACGAUGCUAGAAA
This 939-nucleotide ribosomal RNA is filed under the name uncultured bacterium. RNAcentral describes it as "bacterial SSU rRNA". It matches the Rfam family "Bacterial small subunit ribosomal RNA", at positions 54 to 1006 of the family's 1533-position model. The record is from RNAcentral.